Molecule: ribosomal RNA, 550 nt
Filed under: Bifidobacterium longum
Lineage: Bacteria; Bacillati; Actinomycetota; Actinomycetes; Bifidobacteriales; Bifidobacteriaceae
Also listed under: 1 other name
Description: bacterial SSU rRNA
Rfam family: Bacterial small subunit ribosomal RNA
Source: RNAcentral
UCUCCUGGAAACGGGUGGUAAUGCCGGAUGCUCCAGUUGAUCGCAUGGUCUUCUGGGAAAGCUUUCGCGGUAUGGGAUGGGGUCGCGUCCUAUCAGCUUGACGGCGGGGUAACGGCCCACCGUGGCUUCGACGGGUAGCCGGCCUGAGAGGGCGACCGGCCACAUUGGGACUGAGAUACGGCCCAGACUCCUACGGGAGGCAGCAGUGGGGAAUAUUGCACAAUGGGCGCAAGCCUGAUGCAGCGACGCCGCGUGAGGGAUGGAGGCCUUCGGGUUGUAAACCUCUUUUAUCGGGGAGCAAGCGAGAGUGAGUUUACCCGUUGAAUAAGCACCGGCUAACUACGUGCCAGCAGCCGCGGUAAUACGUAGGGUGCAAGCGUUAUCCGGAAUUAUUGGGCGUAAAGGGCUCGUAGGCGGUUCGUCGCGUCCGGUGUGAAAGUCCAUCGCUUAACGGUGGAUCCGCGCCGGGUACGGGCGGGCUUGAGUGCGGUAGGGGAGACUGGAAUUCCCGGUGUAACGGUGGAAUGUGUAGAUAUCGGAAAAGAACACC